This 253-nucleotide ribosomal RNA is filed under the name uncultured bacterium. RNAcentral describes it as "partial 16S ribosomal RNA". It matches the Rfam family "Bacterial small subunit ribosomal RNA", at positions 524 to 776 of the family's 1533-position model. The record is from RNAcentral.
UACGAAGGGGGCUAGCGUUGUUCGGAAUUACUGGGCGUAAAGCGCACGUAGGCGGCCUACUAAGUCAGGGGUGAAAUCCCGGGGCUCAACCCCGGAACUGCCUUUGAUACUGAUAGUCUCGAGUCCGGAAGAGGUGAGUGGAAUUCCGAGUGUAGAGGUGGAAUUCGUAGAUAUUCGGAGGAACACCAGUGGCGAAGGCGGCUCACUGGUCCGGUACUGACGCUGAGGUGCGAAAGCGUGGGGAGCAAACAGG